This 683-nucleotide long non-coding RNA is filed under the name Salvia miltiorrhiza (redroot sage). Its description in RNAcentral is "long non-coding RNA (SMIL_LNC011799)". Lineage: Eukaryota; Viridiplantae; Streptophyta; Magnoliopsida; Lamiales; Lamiaceae. The record is from RNAcentral.
AGGAGUAUUCUCCCAACCACGUAAAACUACUUAUGUUCUUUAUUUCAGCAUUUACAUUUCAGUUUUGAUAUAACUGCUUAGCAAACUAAAUACACGCAUUACCACAAGCAAAAGCAUCGCAAACUAUCAUUCAACAUAUUUCAUCAGACUGACUCAAGUCACUGAUCGUAAACUUAAUAUUGAUUAAGUUGAAACGAUAACUUUUUUUUUCUUUCUAAAAGCGAGUUAACCAACCACAACAUUCUGCACUUCGGUUAUUAGUCCAACUGACCAGCUUACAAACUGUUUUAUUUGAAUAUUAGUUAGACUAGCGUCAGUUAGCAUUUCUAUAUCAACCCAACUGACUCCUUAUCAGCUGAGACUGUUCAGAAUACUCUCACUUUGAAAAACGAAGAGAAUUGUAACUCGUGUAUUCCCCCCAUACACCAAUACGUACUCGCUACUACUCACUCGGGACCAACACCAAGUAUAUUCUAAGAUGUGAAUCAUAACAUAAAAACUCAAAUUCACAAUCAAAAGUAAUUUGAGAUUGUGAAUUAAUAUAAAAAUUCAAAUUCACAACCAAAACUAAUUUCGAAUUGUGAAUUAUAGCAUAAAAUCUUGAAUUCACAAUCAAGAAUAUUUUAAGUUGCGAAUUUAAAUUUUAAAAUUAAAAUUCAUAUUUAAAAAUUAUCUUAAUUGUG